GGCUCAGUGGUCUAGUGGUAUGAUUCUCGCUUUGGGUGCGAUAGGCCACGGGUUCGAUUCCUGUCUGAGGCC
Nematostella vectensis (starlet sea anemone) is the source of this 72-nucleotide non-coding RNA. The record is from Rfam. Lineage: Eukaryota; Metazoa; Cnidaria; Anthozoa; Actiniaria; Edwardsiidae.